This 376-nucleotide ribosomal RNA is filed under the name uncultured bacterium. Its description in RNAcentral is "bacterial SSU rRNA". It matches the Rfam family "Bacterial small subunit ribosomal RNA", at positions 918 to 1297 of the family's 1533-position model. The record is from RNAcentral.
GGCCCGCACAAGCGGUGGAGUAUGUGGUUUAAUUCGAUGCAACGCGAAGAACCUUACCAGGGUUUGACAUCCUGCGAAUCUCUUGGAAACGAGAGAGUGCCUUCGGGAACGCAGUGACAGGUGGUGCAUGGCUGUCGUCAGCUCGUGUCGUGAGAUGUUGGGUUAAGUCCCGCAACGAGCGCAACCCACGUCGUUAGUUGCCAGCAUUUUAGUUGGGCACUCUAGCGAGACCGCCGGUGAUAAACCGGAGAAGGUGUGGAUGACGUCAAGUCAUCAUGCCCCUUACAUCUGGGCUACACACGUACUACAAUGCUACGGACAAAGGGCUGCAAGUUCGCGAGGACAAGCAAAUCCCAUAAACGUGGCUCAGUUCAGA